GCCAGGCAUGGUGGCGCAUGCCUGUAAUCCCAGCUACUCAGGAGGCUGAGGCAGGAGAAUCGCUUGAAUGCAGGAGGCAGAGGUUGCAGUGAGCUGAGAUCAUGCCACUGCACUUCAGCCUGCGCAACAGAGCGAGACUCCGUCUCAA
Homo sapiens (human) is the source of this 148-nucleotide non-coding RNA. It matches the Rfam family "Metazoan signal recognition particle RNA". From Rfam's summary of the family: The signal recognition particle (SRP) is a universally conserved ribonucleoprotein. It is involved in the co-translational targeting of proteins to membranes. The record is from Rfam. NCBI's taxonomy places the organism in Eukaryota, Metazoa, Chordata, Mammalia, Primates, Hominidae.